Molecule: ribosomal RNA, 462 nt
Filed under: uncultured bacterium
Lineage: Bacteria
Description: bacterial SSU rRNA
Rfam family: Bacterial small subunit ribosomal RNA
Source: RNAcentral
CACAUGCAAGUCGAGGGGCAUCGAGAGAGUAGCAAUACUUUGUCGGCGACCGGCGGACGGGUGCGUAACGCGUAUGCAACCUACCUUAUACAGGGGGAUAACCUUUCGAAAGGGAGACUAAUACCGCAUAACAUUACUUUGAGGCAUCUUGAGGUAAUUAAAUCUUCGGAGGUAUGAGAUAGGCUCGCGUGACAUUAGCUAGAUGGCGGGGUAACGGCCCACCAUGGCUACGAUGUCUAGGGGUUCUGAGAGGAAGGUCCCCCACACUGGAACUGAGACACGGUCCAGACUCCUACGGGAGGCAGCAGUGAGGAAUAUUGGUCAAUGGUCUGACGACUGAACCAGCCAUGCCGCGUGAAGGUGACGGCCCUAUGGGUCUUAAACUUCUUUUGCAAGGGAGCAAUAAGGCGUACGUGUACGUCGAUGAGAGUACCUUGCGAAUAAGCAUCGGCUAACUCCGUG